RNAcentral lists this long non-coding RNA (13010 nucleotides) under Homo sapiens (human). RNAcentral describes it as "non-protein coding lnc-INSC-2:7". Lineage: Eukaryota; Metazoa; Chordata; Mammalia; Primates; Hominidae. The record is from RNAcentral.
GGAGUUGCUGGAAGUAAGACUCAGAAGCACAUCAGGACCCCUAAGACUGUGACCCCCAGGAGUUUCUCACUCUCUAAUUAGUUCACAUUCACCUCCAGAAAUUCAUCAAAAUUAUCAUUUUACUGUUUUUACCAGUUGUUGACUCCAGCAGCUUCUGCUUCAGUAAAUCUUACUGCUGCUCACUUUUUGGGUCCACACUGCGUUUAUUAGCUGCAACGCUCACCGCUAUGGUCUGCAGCUUCACUCCUGAAGCCAGCGAGACCACGAACCCACCAGAAUGAAGAAACUCCGAACACAUCCAAACAUCAGAAGGAACAAACUCCGGACAGGCGGCCUUUAAGAACUGUAACACUCACCUCGAGGGUCUGCGGCUUCAUUCUUGAAGUCAGUGAGACCAAGAACCCACCAAUUCCGGACACAAUGUUACUCCAGAUAAUCAGCGCCAUUUUCUGAAGCUUGAGAUGCAGGAAAAGAGGAGUGCUAUCCAUUAGAUGGAGACAGGAAGUAGAAAAAGAGCUUAAAGUUUUGGCUUGUGUUACUUCCUUGGGGAGAUCUUGCUGGACCACAUCAGGAAUAGGAGGGGUGUGUCCCCACAGCACUGUGUACACGAUGGAGAAACCAAGUCUUUGAAAUCUUGAGAAACUUGCUCACAGUAUAUAUAGAUGUUAAGUGGCACGUUUGGUGAAUGAAUCCACGAUGAUGUUCCAAGCUUAUGCUCAAUAUUUGAAUGAUACAGGGGACAAGUGAAGAGGAGGGAGGCAGGUCAUAUACCCUAGGCCGUAAAGGAGGGGAGUGGAAUCAAGGAAGAUGCAGCAGAAAAGAAGACUUUGAAAGCACUUAAAAGAAGACUUUGAAGGAUCUUAGGGAGCUUGGAUGGUGGAACCAUGAGAAGAGCACAGAGAAGUUGGUGAGGAUAAUUCCCCCCCUUCUCCAUAUUCUAGAGCUGACAACUCCAGCUUGUGUCAGGGUAAUCAAAAGAAGAGACAAUUUAUUGCAGCUCCUACCAUGUGCCAAGCAGGCACCUACCUAAUACCCUAGGGGCAUUAACUCUUUUAACCCUUGCAACAGCCCUGUGAGGUAGCUACAGUUACAAGCCCCAGUUUAGAGGAAGAAACUGAGGAACAUAAAAGAUUGUCCUGGAAUGCCCCACCAGCAUCAAUGACUUGGUUCUCUUCCCUGGCCCUGAAGGAGUGGGCCACUUUCCAGACACGUCCCAGGCAGCAGUCCUGCUCCGUGACACUGUCAAGAAGAGAGGAGCCUCAGGAAAAGUCACAGACAUAAACAAGAUAAAGCCUGUGACCUUCUAGGACACUUUGGCCUGUGGACCACAGAACUGUCAAUGGCCCAGCCCUUGCUCUGAUAAGGGAGGGCAGGAACAUUCCAGGAGAUGCAUUUGUCUCAAGCCCUCAAAGGCUGAGCAUCCCCGAGAAUCUGGCAGAGAGAGAGAGGACGGGGGAGGCUGGUGGGAGGAUCUCUCCAGGGCGUGGAGCCAGCCCCACUGCCCUUGCUAUCCCUUCAGCCCAGAUAUGGGGCAAGAAAUUCAGGCCAACUCAGCAAACAUGUACCUGGCAGCUCCUUCCUGCCUGGCACUGCUAGGGGCAGAGUGCUGGAGGAGAUGGGAGGGCAAGGAUCCCAGGUUGCAGGGGCUCAGAAAGGUGGAGGGAGAUGUGGAUAUCAAUUGCCUGCAUGGAAAAUGAGGGGACAAAGGACAGGCUUUAGUGCUCUGAGGAAGGAGGCAGUCAUUCUGUCUGAGGUUGUGGGAGUCUAGGAAUAUUUAUUUCCUAGAGAACGAGGCCCCUAAGUAGGCCGUAAAGUUAACCAUGACUUUGACAGGUGGAGGGGUCAGAGGAGAGCAUUCCUGGCACAGAUUGGUAUGUUCAAAAGCAUGGAGGAAGACAAUUGCAGAUGUGUUUCAGUUCAUGCAAAGGCCCCUGGAAGGUUGCAAUGGAAGAUGAAGCUAGAAAGAUCAGGGCUGCAGUAGGAGGGGCCUUGACUCCCUGGGAAAGGGUGUGAAACUAUCCUAUAGGAAUAGGAGCCAGGGCUGCCUCUCCGGUAGGGCAGAAACAGUACCAGCUGGGCUUCACAUGGAGGAAGGAGGGGUGGAAGGGGAGCAGACAGGGCCAGUGGAGGGGAUGUAAUAUUCCAAGUUAGAGGUGGUGAGGCCUGAAUUCCGGUAGCAGCCAUGGGAUUUCUGGAAAAAGUUGCAGAUUGUUUUCUUGCUCCUCUUUUAAGACAGUUAUUAGCAGCUGUGGGGCCACCUGAGUGUGUACUGAGCACUUGGGAAACAGGUCCUGAACCAGAAAGAGUGUCCAGGUACAAGUCUACAUCCCAUACCUUGUCAGGCAGAAGUUAGUAGGAAACCCUGCAGCCCAGCCAGAUAAAGGCGUGGCUUCCAGAAUGCCCUGGAACUGCCUGGGUGAUCCUUUUAAAACAUGAAUAUAAACAUGUCUUCAUCCUCCUUAAAACCCUUCGCUGUUUCCACGUCACUCUCAGAAUGAAGUCCAAGCUCUUUGGCUUGGUGUUUAAAGCUUCAUCAAGCCUGUGCUUAUACCUCUGUCAUCCCAUCUCUGUAGUGUAGGGCAGGGAUCCAAACACUUGUCUGCAUGUUCAAAUUCACCUGGAGAUCUUUUAGAAUGUCUAAAGCACAGCCCAGCACCCAGACCAAUUAAACCACAAUUUCUGGGAUGGGACCUAGUUGCUCAGGUGACCCCAGAGAAGCUAGAAACCCAGGUAUAGGGCCUACAUCCUAAGCUCCAGUCAUACCAGAUGUAUUAGCUAGCUGUUUCCAUCACAGACCACUUCAAAUUCGUGGUGGCUUACAAAAAAUAUUGAUUACCAUGCUCACAGAAAUGCAGAUCAUCUGUGAUUUGGCAGGUAAAUGCUGGUGGCAGUUCUGCUUCAGGCUUCGGGGUCAGCUGGGGUUGACUCUAGGCUGACUCUAGACAUUGCAUUCUAGACAUUGCAUUGAGGGAAUUCUACAGAUCUCUCAUAUUUCUGGGAGCUACAUCUUUCCCUGCAGCAAAUUUUCAAGGUAUUGAUAGAAGUGCACGUGCCCCUUAAGAUCUUAGAUUUUAGCUGGCAACCCCUCACUUAACUCACAUCCCAUUGGUCAAAACAAGUCCCAUGGUCAAGGCCAACAAUGAUGGGGCAGGAAAACAGACUCUGCUCACUCUCCUGUUCUGCAAGUCACAUGGCAGGAAGGAGUGAGGAACUAGAAUAAUCCACUCCAUCUCACAGGUAAUCUUGUGACCUUGAAUGGGUCGCGUCUAUGAACCCCAGUUUCCUUACCUGGAGAAUGAGAUAGUUGCCCUGGAUGCCCACUUACAUGACCGCCCCUCCCAGCUCUUCUCAUCCACAAAGACCUUUGCACAUGUAUGCACAGCCACCCACUUGUGCCCAUACUACACAUUUAAAUCAUGACUAUUAUUUUUAAAUACUUGUUGAUUUUCAAAAUGCUUCACAUACUCACACAGGCCAUAUACUCAUCUGCAGAUACAGAUCCUUGCAUUCUCAGUCCUACACAUACAUAUAUACUUACUUUUCAAACACACACGUUUAUGUGCACAUGUUCCCACAUUUAUACAAAUGCACACAGAGGCACCUAUGUGCCGGUGUGCACUCGCUCAGCCAUACUCACACAUGCCACAUGGAUUCUCAGACAUGUUUAGUUACAAACAGUCUCCCCCACCCUUCUCACCCUCACACACUGGCUCACUCACACAUAUAUUCUAUACCUCUCCGCACAGCUGUUUAAUCAGAAUCAGGGCCUGCUGAUGAGGCUGUUGUCUGGCGCUCAGGGAGCUGCUUUAACUCUUUGCUGCCCCCAUAAAGGCUGGCUGUACUAUGUGCCCUCCAUCUGCAGACCCCGGGGAACAAAAAGGCCACAGAAGAGUCAGGCGGAGAUGCUUAAUCUGCAGGAUUGGAGCUCAUCUGGUGCCACAGGGCCAGGGAGAGGGUGCAGAAGACACAGGGACAGACAGCACUCUGGACCCUCUGAAUUCACUCUGUGCUUUCUCCUCCUGGCUGCAUCUCCCUCAUGUCCCAGGUAUCUUCAGUAGGAUAACCAAAAAAAAAAAAAAAAAAAGAAUCAUCCAAACCAAGACAGUGUUGAGAGCGAAAGGGACACUAACAACAAUUACACUGAAUUACCUGAGAUUGUCACAGGCAAGCAGCAAAUGCCUGGUCCCUACUCAUGAGAGACCAGAUAUUGUGGACUUGCCCUGAGCUCCUGUUUCAGCCCAACUCAAGGACAGUCCCGGUUGAAAGGAACUUUCAGGUAGAAUUCCCUCAUUUUGCAGUUGAAGGCCCAGAGAGAAGCUGGGACUUGCCUGAGGUGACACAACAAGUUAGUAACAAAACAGUGUAUAGAACUAAGUUUUUCAAUCUUCCAGGCUAGAGUUCUCCGUGGUCUUAGGUGCAGCUCCUGGGAAACUGGCUGAAACUGUGGGAUUAGCAUGCAAGGGUUCACUGAGGAGUACUUGAGGAAAGAAAGCAGGACAGAGCAGAGGGACAGCAGCCUCAGCAGAGGUCAUGGGGAGCUCUGGAGCUGAGAGGGUUCUUCAAGGUUGUCCCAAAUGAAUCUAUGGGCCGAGGCUUUGUGCCUCCAGCGAGAGGACGUGAUGUUGGGUGGGGCAGUACCCUGCAGCUGAGAGCAACCCCCAGGGAGGGAUGCAACAGCCUGUCAACUAAGGGAGACAGUGCCUUGGUCCUCCAGGGGAGGUGGGCAGCACACCAUGGCAUCCACCACAUCCUGCUGUUAGCUUGUGUUAAACAAGCUACCUGCAGCCCCAGCCCCCCAGAGGCCUGUUUGUACCUGGGCAGCAGUUGUAUUGGCAUUCAUUUCACUGGCUCCACAGGGGGUCCUGGAAGGAAAUUGCUGGGGAGGAGGCCACCUGGCUGAGGCUGCUCCUGAGACUGACCAGUGCGUUCCUUGUGGAGCCCGAGCUUCCUGCCAGCCCCAGCACGGCCAUCUCUGCAGCUUUGCAGCUGCAUUCUUCACACCCAUCAGAAGUCACUGUUGCUUACUUUAUUUUUCCACUUCUUCGAUCCUUCUACAUGUGGUCCAAGGGAGUUUCCUGUCUAACUCAGCCAGGGAACAGGGGCAGCUAGCAGAGAGCCAAAAGGGGGCACCUGGGCAUGAGUUAAGAGGGCAUCUGUGGCAAGCCCAUUACACAGCUAAAGAGAACAAUCUCAAUGAGAAGACUCAGGCUUCUUUAUGAAGGAGGGACACAUUUCCCAUGGGCUGUGGAGUCCAGCAAUCCUGACUUCCAGUCUUAGCUCUGCUGCCUACCUACGGAGGCACUUUACACACACUUCCAGGCGUGAAAAAAAAAAAAUUUCAGCAAAUUAAAUUUAACAAAGUUUAGUUGAGCCAAGAACUAUUCGCAAAUCGAGCCCCCUCAGAACCAGGAAACGGAACGGAAGUGAGGCACAGCAACAGCUUCACUGGUUACAGCUCAGCAUUGGCCGUAUUUGGAUGUGGUGUGAUGAGUUGACUGCCCGUGAUUGGCUGAACCUCAGCAUCUUGUUAUUGGCUGAGACACAACUACUUGUCACAAAAAAUGCAUACUCCUAAAUUAGGCUUUUAUUCUGUUUACGUACUAAGUAAGGUGCAGUUUGUUAUGUAAAUACUCAAGGUACUGAGGCAUCUUCAGGCCAACUUUAGUUAAAUUUAACACAAGCUACCUAGAACUUAGGGAUGGCUCUCUAUAUACAGUAGAGCAUUGUAAGAAUGUAAUGAGGUAACCUGGGAAUAGGAAAGGGAUCUGCAACGUGCCAGCACUCUGCUAAGCACGCAGCACCCACAGCCUCCCUUAUCCCUAUCACAAGCCUGCAAGGUGAGUACCCAGGAUCCCAUUUUACAGAUAAACAAGCUUGCCCCAGGGCCCAGAUCCAAGCUCAACCUGACAUUGUAUGAUUGGUUGCCAGCAUUCUCUGCAGAUUAGUCUUGACAAGGGCCAGUUUCUUACUCCAGUAAAGCAGGAAUUAAAAAGAAAAUAAAAAAAGAAAACACUGGAGCAGUGCUUGACAUUUCACUAUGUUUCCAUCAUAUUGGGUGAAGGCAUCAAGAAGAGCAAAAAUCCUCCUCCUUAAAAACUCAAGAAUUUCAGUGCCAAAAAAAUGACUGUGGAAUUUUUCCAUAAACACACACACACACACACACACACACACACACACACACACACACACACACACACACACACCGUGUUAGUUUUUUCCUGAGGAUCCUGCAGAAUUGCUUUUCACAAAAGACGGCUAACAGCACAGAGCUCUUCUGGAGAGCAGAUUAAAUGAAUUGUCCAGUUUUGGGUGGAAGGCUGUCCAACUUUCCCAGUCAUCAGUGGAAUGCUGGCUGGGUUGAUGUAGGGGUUACUUGGGGGUUAUUGACAACUCCCCAAAUGAGUCUAGCAAACUCGUUUGUGCCAGGCUUCAACUAGGGAGCUCACAGUCUCCUGGGGAAAAUGGACAUAAAAACAGGAAAUUACAAUAUGUAAGUAAUAUUAUAACAAGAAGUAAUAGAAUCAAAUACAAAGUCCCCAGAUAACUUGGAGGUGGUGUCAGCUCUGUCGUGGAGGCUCAAGGAAGAUUUGCUGAAAGAAGUAUCACAAAUCCAGGUUUUGAAGGAUGAACAGGAGUUUUUAGGAGCUACCACCUACUUUUAAUGAUUUUUCUAUUUAGAGAGUGGAGAAAAGAAAGAAGAGGAAGGGUGCUUACAUGUACUACAUGCUAUUUGCCAGACUGCAUUCGACACUUUGCACGUUUGCACAUUUAAUUCUCACGAUAACCUUGUCAGAUGGGGUUUUCACAGGCAAGAAACUUAGGAUCAAAAAGGGUAAGCUGAGCAAUUUACUCAAGGUCACACAGCUACCAAGUGCUGGGGCCAGAAAUCCAUCCCAGUUCUUUUGGCUCCAAAUCCCUGGCUCUUUCCCUGCUGCUGGCUUCUGUAGCCCAUAGGAGCUGUACAUUCAUGGAGUUUAUCUGUGGCAUACUGUGCAGUUUUUGAGUUGGUUAGAAUAAUGUAAAAUCAUUAGGAACUGAUUUAGCAACUGGUCAUAUCUACAGUCAACCCUACAAAAUUCCCUCAUCUGUUCACAGAAACUAUAAGUCUUCAAAGUACUGUCCCAUCUACCCAUUCCUCAGCCCAGCCCUGCAACUUGAACAGGAAGGUCCAUUGCCUGGUAAGUCAAGAGCAGAGCCAGGGGAACUAGAAUCUUCAAUUUCUUGGUUCCCACUGCAGGGCUCUAUGAGUGACACUAUGUUAUACGUAUCUUGUCCCUUUCAUAUCUCUGGUGCUGUAAGGAAGUACCUUCAGGUACUCCAGAUCCUGGGUACCUUCUGUAUCCUCCUUAACAUAAAGUCACUUAACAUAGGACUGAGAUUGAGUGUAUUUCUUUUCAUAAAGAGGUGUGGCUUGAAUUCCUGUGCUGACCACUCCUGACUUGUGUGACCUUGAGCCAAGUUACCUAACCCUUUAGACUUUAAAUCAUCUGAGAAAUAGGGCCAUAAGUUUGGAGAAGUCCUACCUUUGUACAAAAUAACUGGGGCGAUGUUUCGGCACUUACUGGGUACACAAAAUACCUGGUACUUACUAGGUGCUCAGUAGAUGUGAGUUUACUUUCCUUUAUCCUUUGAAGAGCUGUACCUGUGUCCAGGGUUAACCUCACUCCAUCAGGACCUAGACAUCCCUACAAAAUUAGGGAUUUUACUUCCCUUUGUGGUAAUUAACUAUAUAUUGUACAUUCUAUAUCCAAAGUCACAGAGCAGAUCCACAGUUUUCAAACUGGGUUCGAAGAAGCCCUGAGGUCCUGCGAGGCGGUUCAAGGGUGAUGGAUGUCAGUGGUCAGGCCUUCAGACCACCCCCUCCCAAUUCAACAAAGGCAGAAUCUCUUUUAUAUCUUUUAUAUGUUGGGCUCUCAAGUAGAAUUUCAUUUUAAGAAUGAAAUUGAGUGUUGAAAAUAGAAAAUUGCAAACCUCUGUUGGAGAGUAAUAGAAAGUUUAAUGUGUGAUCUUUGCAUUGCAAACCAGGUUGCUUUCUCCCUUAUGUCUCUUCCCUCCUCGUCUUUUUUUUUUUUUUUUUUUUUUUUGAGAAGGAGUCUUGCUCUGUCCAGCAGUGGUGCCAUCUUGGCUCACUGCAACCUCCACCUCCCAGGUUCAAGCAAUUCUCCUGCCUCAGCCUCCUGAGUAGCUGAGAUUACAGGCACAUGCCACCACCCUCAACUAAUUCUUGUAUUUUUAGUAGAGGUGGGGUUUCACCAUGCUGGUCAGGCUGAUCUCGAACUCCUGACCUUGUGAUCUGCCUGCCUCGGCCUCCCGAAGUGCUGGGAUUACAGACAUGAGCCACCACGCCCAGCCCCUCCUGGUCUCCUUAAUGACAAAAGCCCAGCUUCUACCCUGCUCACUGCCCCACCCCCAACAUUCAGACCAGUCACAAGAAGGAAAACCAGUUAACAAGGACCUGGAGAAGCUACAACGUACUUGGACUUCCAGUCUUUAAAUGGACCGUUUUUGUCUCAGCCUGGCUAGGAAGUCUUGGCUGAUGUGGUCUAGAGACAGGAAAGCAAGGUAAUUUGGGGCCUAAAAUGACAAAAUGAGGGCAGAGAAAAGUGUUGAAAAUGAAUGACUGCGGAAAGGAAAGAAAUAUUCUGACAUGCUCCUCUUCCUAUCUGACACCCAGUGAGAUGGAGAACACGUUGACUUUGGAGCCAAGAAAGCUGAGUUCAAAUUCUGAGCCUGCCCAAUGUGUAACUAUGUGAUCUUGAACAAGCCAUUAACUCCUUCCAGUCUUAUUUCCUCAUCUACAGAAUGGGAAUAGUAUUGCUGUCACAGGACUAAUAUGAGUGUAUAUCACAUGUAUGUAAAAAGCAUAUGUGAGAUAUUGAAUGAAAAACAAUUGAUGCCUGCUAGAUGUCACUGAAUAAACAUCAGUCCCCCUUCUCCAUCCAGCUACCAUAUUUUCCAGCCCAUACAUUGAGACACUGGGUUAUGGUAAAUAUUGAAUUAAAUGAUGUAAAUCAAUUCCUAAUGCAACUCCUGGCACACAGUAGGUGUUUAAUAAAUGCUAUCUUCUCCACAAGCUUCCCUCCUUCUGCACAACAUAUUUGCAGCAACUGCCAUCCUGAUCACCUCAUGCUUGGGUUACUAACUCAGCCCCCCUAGUGGGGUCCCCUGUCCCAGAGCCCUGUUCCUGUCUCCCUGGCAUGUGCAGUCACCCUAAUCUUCCCCUAAACAAAUGAACAAAGCAAGACAAAUGGCAAAGCUCCACUAACAACAAGCUAUUCAGUUCCAGCAUUAUCUGAUUUAAUUCUCCAUUUUUGUUUCAGAUCAAUCUGUAAGAUCAGUGUUAAUAGCUCUCCCUACCCCUUGUAAUGAUAAUCUCAGGCUCAAAGAAGUAAGCAAUUUCAGCUCCUCACCUUUGUGGGGGCGUAGCUAAGGUGUGAGAUCCCAUCAGAUCUGUCUGCAACCAAAGACUCUUCUGCAACAUUAACUGUUCUCUGAAGUGGUCUGGCUGGGCACUGAGAGUGGAGAGACCUGGAUUCUAGCGCUGGCUCACCAUUGGUUCAUGGCGCAUGAGCCCAUUUCCUCCUCUAAAAAUGAGGAGAGUCCCUUCCUUUCUUACCCCAUAUGUCUGCACUCAGGUUUCAGGGCCAAUUUCAGAUGGGCCAUAUGCUCUCUGUCCUCUGUACCUUUGCCCAAGCUGUCGCCUGCUCCUCAGUCACCUCCCUCAUUGCCCUGUGUCUACCUGUUUAAGAAUUAAGCUCUAAGAUUCUACUCUAUCAUCCCUCACCUCCUUCAGAAAGCCUUCCUAGACCAGCCCAGGCAGAAUCAGGUGCUCCUCCUCUAGGCUUUCAUAGCCCUGCAUCUAAACCACAACUGUGACCUUUUUUUCCUGGUAUAUACCUUUGAUUAUAGGACUGUCUCCUAGUAGAUAGACUGGGAGCUCUCGUUUAUCUCAUUUAUCUUUAUACCCAUGUCUGUCACAGAAUAAUUGCUCAGAUAAUACUUGUGGAAUGAAUGCAUUAAUGAAUGAAUGAAGAGAGAGAGCAAGGGAGAUCGAAAGAGCAUCAUUGAAUGAGUUCAGGGUUUUGUUCGGUCCCAGCUUCAGAGUCCAUUUCUUAAGAAUAAUUAAUUCUUGCAGUUCUUCCACUGCUGACGUUGUGCCUCCAUGGGGGUCAAUGGCCCUAUGCCCUAGCAUCUUAUCCCUAUACCAUGUAAUCUGGGUCUGAUGCUGGAAUUUGGGCUUAGAGCUUGGCUCCAAGUCUCUGUGACAGGGCUCUGCCCUGCCUCCAGCCCCCAUCCAGGACAUGGGCCCUCUCUUACCCUGGCCAGCCUGUUUCAGGCCAAGGAACUCCAUUCCUCUCCCCAGCUCCUGUUCUCUCCCUCUCACCUGCUUCCCUGGCUGGUGAUAGGGCCUGCCUCCUGCCCAUCAGGGCUUCUUAGAUUACAACUAUCAGCCUAAUUUCCCCACUUCUGUGUCCCACCCACUUACUAGGUCAGCCUUCCCACUAUAGUUGGGAGAUGGUGACAUCCUCAUGUGUCAGGCUUUUCCUGAUAUCGGGAGCCCCUCAUGUCAGCUCCUAUCCCUGGGUCAGAUGCCCUGACAUAUGCCCAGCCCUUCAGACAGCUCCAGGUCAGUGUCCAAUCCCUUUCUGCCUGCCAGGGAGCAUCUGGACAUGCCUAGCCAAAUCCUGAGAUGGGCUGGGAGGAGGCAGUCAGCCCUGGAGAUCAUUUCCAGUGAAGGCCCAGCCUGCAGGUGGGCACACAUGGUGGGUGUUCAGGUUUGAGGAGGCCUUGGAAAAUGAAAGAUCGCAUGUGGUGCAAACCUCAGGCUAUGUGCCUUUGGACAACUCAUUUUAUCCCUCUGUGCCAAAGAGUUUUUGUUUGCAAAUUGGAGAUAAGAACACAUAAUAGCUACCUCAGAGGACUGUUGUGAAGAAUAAAUAGGAUAAUGCAUAUCAACCUCAAGGCCUGGUACAUGAUGAGCCCUCAGUAAACGUGAGCCCUUUUCCAUGUCACUAUAGCUGUUGUCAUUAUUGCUCUUGUUGCUGCUAUUGUCAUUAAGAAGAGUGGGCUGCAUCCUCAGGUACAUCUCCUGUGCUGUUUCUUUUCCUCAAACCACUCAUUAAUAUUCUGAAGACUAAGUCAGGGAGGCAGUAGCAACACACCAGGCUUAAAAUUAAUCAAGUUCCCUUCAGUCCAAAUGAACUUUUCUCACCGAUUCUCAGAUCUUCGGCAUCUUGCUACUGGGUGCAUUUUUUCUACAUAAUGAAGUUUGGGCAGUGCUGGCUCCUGCCUAGUCCCUGACUGUGACCUCCAUGCAGUCACAGCUGUUCUCAGGCGCUGCGCUUCAAGUUCCCCACCCCACAUCGUCUGGCUGCCUUCUCAUCUGGGGUGAUGCGACCCCAGCAGAUUAAUAUGAUGUCCUUGUAAUUCUGCAUCCAAGACACAUGUCACUUUCCUUCAACACAUUUGGAAGGAGGGCAAGUUCUACUUUGUAAGGACCGUCACUUAUUUUGAACUGGAAGAAAAUAAUUUAUUUGGUCAAAAGUUGUUGUGCUUUUCCAUUAAGGGCACAUAUUACCCUUUUGUAAUUGGAAAUGGGGCCAUUUAGAUCCCACAUCGUCUAAUCUCCAAAGUCACUCCAGCACAGGGCUUUCUUCCUCAUUUGAUUUCAAUCAAUCAGUGAAUCCAACAACGAAGAAAAUGCAUUCAAAAAUUAACCAUACCAAGUGAAAGCAGAGGAACGUAUGUUAGCAGGAGUCUCCCAACUCAGGUGUUUCUGUAAGAACCAUUAAAAUACCCCUUAUCUGAGUGGAAAUUCAUUUCUUUCUACUAUAGGAAGACUCCAAGACACUCACUCUAAGACUUGGGCCUGGAUCUAUGUGCAGAAACCCUGCUGAACUUUGCAGUGUCACCCGCCACCCAACUAAGAGGGUCUCCCAGGAUUGUUUUCUAGUUCCCAGUCUGGGCUGUCUGACAUGGCACCCCAACCUGGGUACACAUCUUAGAGGCUCGGCUUUUUGUCAGUGGCAAACUGGAAAUUUCACCACUUAAAUGGAACCACGAAAUCUUAGGCCUUGGGAGAGUAUGUCUGCAGGGCCAUCUUGGUGUGCACCUCUCACUGACCAUUUUCAACAGAUGCCAGAUUCUUGGAUCUGGGAGGGUGGCCCUAGUCCCCAUCUUCAGGCUGUGUUAAAUGGUGAGCUUGAAGGCCAAAGAAAACUGCUUCAGACUUUGAUACCUUAUCAGUAUGACUCAGGGAAGAGAGAGGUUAAGUAACUUGCUCAGAAUCACACAGGUAGUAACUAGCAAAAUUGGACUUUGAAUCCAGGUUUGCAUGACUUUAUAUUAUGCUUUUCUGCAAUGCUGCUGCCUGGAAGGCAGGCUUAGUGCUGCUGAGAUCCUGGUAGAUAUCUGCUUUCCCCAAAGCGGUGAACUUUGCAGGCUACCGCCAGAUCUAUGCCAUCUGCUCACUUCCGAGGGGCUUCUUCAAAUCCCACCAGGUGACCUUAAUGUCCCAAAAUAUUCUUGACACUGAAGCACUCACUUGCAAAGAAAAGCUGGACCCCAACCCCUGUAUUGGACAGACCCUACAGGAAGUUUCCUUAAUAGCCUAAGGAGCAGAGACAGAAAAUGAAAAAUCACUAAGGUAGUGGUAGGCUUACAUCCCAGGGAGGGAGUGCCAUGGCGCACACCUCCUGCAUGGGCUAGGGUUCGCAUUUGUGUUUAAUAACAACUUUGAUCUCUCUGCCAGCAGCAGCGGUCAUUGAGAAAUCCUGACAUAAAGAAGGAAAUGCAGAUGAUAACUCCUGCCUCCAGACCCCUCUCUGAGAUGAUUCUGAGACACAUAUAAAUGGGCUUUGCAAACUGUGGGCAGUAGAUGUGAGAACUCUUCAUCUUCCAGACAGGAUCCAAGGUCCUUUGGAAGGGACAGUGAGCGGACUGCAUCCUGCUUGCAUGAAGACCCUGAUUCCCUCAAAUGUUGAAAGAGGUUGAAUUUACAAAUAAAUUAA